Molecule: ribosomal RNA, 584 nt
Filed under: uncultured bacterium
Lineage: Bacteria
Description: partial 16S ribosomal RNA
Rfam family: Bacterial small subunit ribosomal RNA
Source: RNAcentral
UGGGGAAUUUUGGACAAUGGGCGAAAGCCUGAUCCAGCAAUGCCGCGUGUGUGAAGAAGGCCUUCGGGUUGUAAAGCACUUUUGUCCGGAAAGAAAUCCUUGGCUCUAAUACAGUCGGGGGAUGACGGUACCGGAAGAAUAAGCACCGGCUAACUACGUGCCAGCAGCCGCGGUAAUACGUAGGGUGCAAGCGUUAAUCGGAAUUACUGGGCGUAAAGCGUGCGCAGGCGGUUUGCUAAGACCGAUGUGAAAUCCCCGGGCUCAACCUGGGAACUGCAUUGGUGACUGGCAGGCUAGAGUAUGGCAGAGGGGGGUAGAAUUCCACGUGUAGCAGUGAAAUGCGUAGAGAUGUGGAGGAAUACCGAUGGCGAAGGCAGCCCCCUGGGCCAAUACUGACGCUCAUGCACGAAAGCGUGGGGAGCAAACAGGAUUAGAUACCCUGGUAGUCCACGCCCUAAACGAUGUCAACUAGUUGUUGGGGAUUCAUUUCCUUAGUAACGUAGCUAACGCGUGAAGUUGACCGCCUGGGGAGUACGGUCGCAAGAUUAAAACUCAAAGGAAUUGACGGGGUCAAGCUGUUUCCU